GCGGGAUUAGUUGAGCGGUUCAACACAACCUUCCCAUGGUUGGAAGACGGGUUCGACUCCCGUAUCCCGCU
Molecule: transfer RNA, 71 nt
Filed under: Parcubacteria group bacterium CG2_30_36_38
Lineage: Bacteria
Also listed under: 5 other names
Description: tRNA-Gly
Rfam family: tRNA
About the family: Transfer RNA (tRNA) molecules are approximately 80 nucleotides in length. Their secondary structure includes four short double-helical elements and three loops (D, anti-codon, and T loops).
Source: RNAcentral